This 511-nucleotide ribosomal RNA is filed under the name uncultured bacterium. RNAcentral's name for it is "bacterial SSU rRNA". It matches the Rfam family "Bacterial small subunit ribosomal RNA", at positions 29 to 518 of the family's 1533-position model. The record is from RNAcentral.
AACGAACGCUGGCGGCGUGCUUAACACAUGCAAGUCGAACGCGAAAGGGACUUCGGUCCUGAGUAAAGUGGCGCACGGGUGAGUAACGCGUAGAUAACCUGUCUUCAUGUCUGGAAUAAUACGCCGAAAGGGGUACUAAUACCGGAUAUUCUUGCUUUUCAUAAGUUAUGCAAGCAAAGGUGGCCUCUGCAUAUGCUACUGCAUGAAGAGGGGUCUGCGUACCAUUAGCUAGUAGGUGGGGUAAUGGCCUACCUAGGCGACGAUGGUUAGCGGGUCUGAGAGGAUGAUCCGCCACACUGGCACUGGAACACGGGCCAGACUCCUACGGGAGGCAGCAGUGAGGAAUAUUGCGCAAUGGGGGAAACCCUGACGCAGCGACGCCGCGUGAGUGAGGAAAGGCCUUCGGGUCGUAAAGCUCUGUCAAGAGGAAAGAAGUGUACAAUGGCUAAUACCUGUUGUAUUUGAUGGUACCUCUAAAGGAAGCACCGGCUAACUCCGUGCCAGCCGCUGC